UACAGAGGUCUCAAGCGUUGUUCGGAUUCAUUGGGCGUAAAGGGUGCGUAGGCGGCGCGGUAAGUCGGGUGUGAAAUUUCGAGGCUUAACUCCGAAACUGCAUUCGAUACUGCCGUGCUUGAGGACUGGAGAGGAGACUGGAAUUUACGGUGUAGCGGUGAAAUGCGUAGAUAUCGUAAGGAAGACCAGUGGCGAAGGCGGGUCUCUGGACAGUUCCUGACGCUGAGGCACGAAGGUCAGGGGAGCAAACGGG
Molecule: ribosomal RNA, 253 nt
Filed under: uncultured bacterium
Lineage: Bacteria
Description: partial 16S ribosomal RNA
Rfam family: Bacterial small subunit ribosomal RNA
Source: RNAcentral